RNA transcript from Neopsephotus bourkii (Bourke's parrot), 2388 nucleotides. It is a transcript of the gene named RNA binding motif protein 46, with no coding region annotated. Lineage: Eukaryota; Metazoa; Chordata; Aves; Psittaciformes; Psittacidae. The transcript has 6 exons. The record is from RefSeq and is a predicted model, not a curated record.
AUGUCUCAGAUCAUAAUUAAUUGGACCCUGAUCCUGAAGACAAAGCAAGCUGAAAACAUAAGGGGCAUCAAAUAACAACUAUUGCAGAUAUGCACGAGGAAAACAAAGCUGCAGCAAAUGCAUGUGGCAAAAUCCGAAGUGGCGCUCAGAAUGGGGCUGCUUUACUUGCCCUUAUGGAGAAGACUGGAUACAGCAUGGUUCAAGAGAAUGGACAAAGAAAAUUUGGUGGGCCUCCACCAGGUUGGGAAGGUCCUCCACCACCUCGUGGAUGUGAAGUUUUUGUGGGUAAGAUUCCUCGUGACAUGUAUGAAGAUGAAUUGGUUCCUAUUUUCGAGAGAGCUGGGAAGAUCUAUGAAUUUAGACUCAUGAUGGAAUUCAGUGGUGAAAAUCGAGGCUAUGCUUUUGUGAUGUAUACUACUAAAGAGGAAGCCCAACUAGCCAUCAAGAUUCUUAACAAUUAUGAAGUUCGUCCAGGGAAGUUUAUUGGUGUCUGUGUAAGCUUGGACAACUGCAGACUAUUUAUUGGAGCAAUUCCAAAAGAAAAGAAGAAAGAAGAAAUACUGAAUGAAAUGAAAAAAGUUACAGAAGGAGUGGUAGAUGUCAUUGUUUAUCCAAAUGCCACUGACAAAACUAAAAAUCGUGGCUUUGCUUUUGUAGAAUAUGAAUCUCACAGAGCAGCUGCAAUGGCUAGGAGGCGGCUUAUCCCAGGAACAUUUCAGCUCUGGGGUCAUACUAUUCAAGUAGACUGGGCAGAUCCUGAGAAAGAAGUUGAUGAAGAAACAAUGCAAAAAGUUAAGGUGUUAUAUGUAAGAAAUUUAAUGAUAUCUACUACAGAGGAGACAAUUAAAGCCGAAUUCAACAAGUUCAAGCCAGGAAUAGUUGAACGUGUAAAGAAGCUGAGAGACUAUGCUUUUGUUCACUUUUUCCACCGAGAUGAUGCAGUGGCUGCUAUGUCUGUAAUGAAUGGAAAGUGCAUUGAUGGAGCCAGUAUUGAGGUAACACUGGCAAAGCCAGUUAACAAAGAAAGUACUUGGAAGCAACAUUUUAAUGGUCAGAUAAGUCCCAGUUCUGAAAACCUCUUGGGGUUUCCUAACAAAGAAGAUGGUCAUCAAAAAUCCUUAGGGAAACCAGUGAGUCUUCCAGUUCAUUUUAAUGGUCAGCACAGUCCAGUCCCCACUGAAGUUGAAAGAUGUAUAUACCCAUUUUUUCCAGGAAUAAAACUUACUCCAAUUAGCAUGUAUUCUUUAAAAUCCAGUCACUUCAGUUCUGCAGCAAUGCAUCUGGAUUAUUUUUGUAAUAAAAAUAAUUGGGCACCUCCAGAAUACUACUUGUAUUCAACCACAAGUCAGGAUGGGAAAAUACUCUUGGUGUACAAGGUGCUUAUUCCUGAUAUUGCUAAUGCUUCCCGGAGUAUUUUCAUGCCAGACAAACUAUGUACAACAGUAGAAGGUGCAAAGGAAUUGGCAGCGCAGUUCACGCUUCUACAUCUAGCAGUGAUUUUGAGAAAAGUGUGAAUGUUUUUCUUGGAAGCAACUUACUAUAAGCAUGCCUUUACAAAGAUGACAAGGAAUAAUUCCUUCUGCCAACUGUACACCCUAUUUGGCUUGAAUUGCCCUCAAGAAAAGCUCAGGAUGUUUUGCUUCGGAUCUUGCUACAAAAGGAAAAAGACCACUAACUACAUUGAUACAUUCUAUGAUUUACUGGAAAAUCACAUUACAUGUUUAUUGAAUAAUUCUGUAAAACAUAUGUGUUUAUUAAACAUUUCACUUUAAAGAUUAGUGACAUUGACUGUUAAAUUGUUUUAGUUAGCUUGAUUAGAUUUAUUUUAAAAUUGUUUAAAAGAUUUUUUUAGCUGCAGUAGUUUAUAAAACAGUUUAUUUUUAGUGUUGAAAUAAUUUGCUACAAUUCCUUGUAUUUUGAGUUUCACACAAAUGUUACAGCUUCUGUGAUAAUAAAUCUUAAGAAUCAUUAAACAAAAAACAUAACCAACAAUACACCGCCUUGGCAAGUCUGCCUUUUCGUACAUAAACAUGCAUAAUACGAAACUUAAAUAUCAUACUCAGAUUUGUUUCUGUAACUUGAUGCAAAAUUUUAUAGGAGGAACGUGCUCAGUAACAUCUUCUGGUACAGCAUUGCAUCAACAGAGGAGUGGUAUUUUGAAAGGCCUGUUUUGAUGUCAAUCUACCAUCAGGCUACAUAAGAUGUAUUACUGUAUUUGUAAUGUUGAGCUUCAAUACCUUAGGUAAUUCUUUGAGACAAAAAUGAGCAAAAAAACCCCACGACUUGAUACAUACAAAUUACAUGUACUUAUAUGUACAGCUCACUAAGUUGCAUUACCUGUUAGCACUGCUCUGCUGGACAUGUGUGCUUCCAUAUUUAGAGAAGCCU